RNA transcript from Macrosteles quadrilineatus (aster leafhopper), 5381 nucleotides. It is a transcript of the gene named glutaminyl-peptide cyclotransferase-like, with no coding region annotated. The transcript is spliced from 7 exons. The record is from RefSeq and is a predicted model, not a curated record. Lineage: Eukaryota; Metazoa; Arthropoda; Insecta; Hemiptera; Cicadellidae.
CAGUCAGUACCGUUCAAGACGGCGAAGUCUCAUGUGUUGGCAGUGAUGGGGUUAUUACUCAAUGGAUUUUUGAUAUUAUAUCUUUUCAACUUCUUUCAAACUGGAGUUGUUACUGUAGACUUUCAUUUACAAAAGAAUUACCAUGAACCAAGGGCCUUUAAUAGUGAGGAGCUGACAGAAGUUGCUAAACUAUCGAGCCUCCCUCGCUUUGAUGAAAUCCUCUCUCACAUACUUGUGCCUCGAGUGGUCGGAUCAGAUGGACAUAGGAAAGUCAGAGAGUACAUCACUAGCCAGUUACGAGGCCUGGGCUGGUCAGUAGAGCACCAAGAGAGUGUGCAGACGACUCCGCUGUUUGGUCAGCUGACUUUCACUAACUUAAUUGCUCGGCUGAAUCCAUCAGCUGACAGGUAUCUGACACUGGCAUGUCACUACGACAGUAAACACAUGCGGGAGGGAGAGUUUCUGGCAGCGACGGACUCCGCCGUCCCUUGUGCGAUGAUGUUAGAUUUGGCUCACGCUUUGUCACAUCGGUUGGAGCCUUUUAAAAAGUCGAACUUGAGCCUUAUGUUACUAUUCUUUGAUGGUGAAGAAGCAUUUGUAACAUGGAGUGCAACAGAUUCCCUUUACGGAUCUCGCAGCUUGGCUCAGACUUGGGAGAAGCGCAAGUAUCCACAUGCAAGAUCCGACACUACGGAACUUCACAGGAUAGAUCUGUUGGUACUUCUGGAUUUGCUGGGGACUCCUCAGCCUUCUUUCUACAGUUAUUUCCGCAAAACACAAAGUUGGUAUUUGCAAAUGGUUGCUGCAGAAAGGAGCCUUACUGACAUGAGGUUGUUGAAGAAGAUUAACAAUGAAGUUUACUUCAACAGAAUGCAUCUCGACGCUCAUAUUGAUGAUGACCAUAUGCCCUUCCUUGAGCGAGGCGUUCCAUGUCUACACAUCAUUCCUACUCCAUUUCCGACAGUUUGGCACGAGCUUUCCGACAACUACAAUGCACUAGACAUGCCAACUAUCGACAACUUAAACAAAAUACUCAGGGUCUUUACUUUAGGCUACUUAAGAGGGGGUGCCAGAACUAAAACAAAAAGGCCUAGAAAUUUAGAUGUUUCUACAUAUGACUUAUAACGUCCAAACUGUUUUAAAAUAGGAGACUCGGCCAAACCUACUGUACUGUACUAUCUAUAGCCAAUGAAAAUUAUGUAACAUAACUUAACUUGUCACAUUUUCAUUUAAAUAUCAACAUUUUACAUUAGAUUUUAUGUUGGGGUUUAUAAAACUCAAACUAAAGCAUUGACAGAUAUCCAAAACAGUACGGUUUUAUGAAUGACGCUGUUACACAGUUUAUCAAGUUUCUGGUCUCUAACAGUCAAAAGCUUGUUCAGGAACGGAAAUUGUCCAACAUUUCUAAAGUUGAACUGUUAAGUUGAUCUACCAUGACUGAUUAUUUGGAAUGUGUUAAGUUGAAAGUUAAGGGCUUUUGUUGCUGAAAGUUAGUUCCUCCGUAAUGACAUUCCAACAAAAAAUAUUGUAUAAACAAAAUUUUAAAACAACAUUAGCAUUUUUACAUUUUAAUUAUUGUUAAUCCAUCUUGAUAUUUUGGCAGCUUAAGUAUUAUUAGUAUAAGUAUAGGCUAGACAAUGGUUGUAAGGGUAUAGAAUAUUUUUAUAUUUAAUCAAAUGGAUUAGUUUUGUAAUUUAAUCAUACAUUAUGAGGGUGUUACAUUUCGGUAGGUAAAAAUAGAUUUGCUAUGUAUGCUGACGAUUACGAUACUUAAUUUAAUUUAUUUUUUUUAGCUUAUUAGCAUGUACAUGGUGCAGCAUAAAAACCGAUCUAUUUUCUGCAGCACACUGUUCAGCGACAGGUAGUCUGAGGGUGGUUGAAGUAGGUUCGUUUGAAAGCCUACACGAUGCCAUUAUCUGUGGUCAUAGACCAGGGUUGUUGUCACUUGAGCAGCGUGAAUUUGUUUUCGAGUCUUUUAAAAAAAGUAAUGAUUCAGUCAUUGCAACUCAACAGCAUUUCCAUGCAUUCUUUAAAUUAGGUCGACAUGGAGAGGUUCUGUUGCGAAUAUGUGUAUGGAUAAUCAACAAAAUUAAACAGAAUAAUACUAAUUAAUCCGUAUGGAUAAGAGUUAAGAUCGAACCUCAAAAUUAGCGUAAUCGAGCGGUCAGACAUGUUCAAAGCAGAUGCUUGUUUUCGGGAGGGCCUACAAGGAUUGUGUUCCACAGCAGCACCAACUCUAUUGCAUGUUAGUUGUCUGGCUUUCCGAUCUGCUUUGGAUGGCUUAUCAGCUUCGUUUUGAACACAGAAGCCGUUGUUAUAAAGUUGGUAACACACUACAUGAGUGUGCUACUUAACGGAAUCCACGUCGCCCUAAUUAAAAAUUAAAGGAAUGCAUGGAACCUCCGCUGAGUUGCAAUGACUGAAUCAUUACUUUUUAAAUUCAACUCAACAACAAACUCACAUUGCUCAGGUGCCCAAUGCUCUAUGACCACAAAUAAUGGCAUAGUGUAGGCUUUCCAACAAGCCUAGCCCACCACUCUCAGACGCUGAAUAGUGCGCUGCAUAAAAUACAUAGUUUUUUUGCCGUUUUUUUAUUUGUUUUCAAAGUGAUGUCUGUGUGUGUGUGUGUGUGUGUGUGUGUAUGUUCAUAAGCUAUUGCAACUUUUGUGAUUUUUCCCAACAUCAUUGUUACCACAACCACUUACCCAUGAUAAGGGGUCUUGACAAGCUUAUGGGAGAAAGUAUGUGUAAAAUUGCUGAUACCGCUUAUUUAAUAUGUACAUAUGUGUCUUACUAAAAAAUAAUAACUUUAUCAGUAUCUUUAAAUUUAAAUCUGGAAUCUAAACAUGUUAAAAAUCUCAACAAACUAGUCAAACAAAUGUCAAAUUAACAAGACUUGCUUGCAGUUGAAUUUAAGCUUUUAUUGGACCGCAAUAAAACAAAUUGUGCUGUGAUUUUGUUACCUCUUUUAAGACUUUUAUUAAUAUUUUUCACUUUUAGUUGAUUGUUAUGAGUUUUCAGUGAGCACACUAGAAGGUUUUACCAAGGUAAAAUAAAAGCAGCAUUCAACUAAUUCUAUUGCUUUAAAACUGGGAGUACUGAACCCAAUUCUCCAUGCCCCUAUGUUUUACAGUUUUUAGUGUCAUUAAUAUGCUGGAAACUUGACUAAAUAAUUGCUUCAGUAAAAAUCAAUUUUAAUGUCAGUAACUAGAACUACCAAAUCAAACUUUACUAAAAUUGUAAUUAGUUCUUAAUUUCAGUCCUGUUGGAUUUAGUUGUAACUUGUAACCUUCCUACUAUUUUUAUUUGCUAUGAAUUUUUGCUAUCGAAUUAAACUUUUUUUAAUUUUUUGAACUGAUCAUAACUAUUUUGGUUAGAGACCUUAAUGUAUGGGUUUCUUCAUAUAGAGUUAAGAAAUUUGAAGGUUUUUUUUUGGUGCCCCGUAAUACAUUCAGUGAUUCAGAAUAUAUUUUUCUUGCCACUUCACCAAAAUUUACUUAGGAAGAAUACUUGCUGAAUGCUUUUACUUUGUUCAUGAACUAUCACUGUGUAGGUUUUGUUUUGUUAUGAGUUAUGAGUUAACAUUUUGUUUCUUGUUAUUUCAGUUAUUGAAAACCUCGUUUAACCAAAUGAAACGACUUAAACAUAAACAAUGACUUGUCCCCUAGUUGUAUAACCAUAUAGCUGAACAGUAAAGCACAAAUCAUUAAAUUAACCCUAAAAUAAUAUAAACAAAGUAUCGUCGACACUAGCGAUCACUGAUCAGUGUCACCAGACAUGAAAUUGACACAAAAGCAAGCUUCAAAAUGUACAAUGGGAUAAGAAGUCUGCUUGUGUUGGUUAGUCUAUGACUAUAUCUAUUAGUUUUGUUCCAAAUUUAAUUCUGAAUGAGUAGUAGAUGGUUUCAGUUUCUACAGGGUGGGGCAGAGUGGACUCCCUGAUUUGAUCGGUUAACUGUAUAAAAACCAUACAAGAUUACUACAAAAGCUUUUUAUUUCUGAAAUCUAAAUACAAUGCCAUUUAUUUUUCAUUAAGUUUUAAAAAUGAUAUCGUCCAGGUGAAGACCUUGACGAGCGAUGCACAUAUUUAGCCGUUCAAUGAAGUUUUCAAAAACUUUACGCAGCAUAUCUGGCAUUAUUCCAGUGAUAACAUCAACAAUUGCUUCCUUAAGGGCUUCCAAGGUCCUUGGUCGAACUUUGUAAACCUCAGUUGCAGAUUCGGUCGCCCGUACACUUGUAAUCCAUUUCCUUAAGGUUUUAGCAUCGGGAACACUAUCAUGACAAUUCAAACCAAACCGUCUACGAAAUGCACGCUGGGUCGCCACCACACUAUCCUUAUUUUUAAAGAACGUUUUGACUACAAAACCACGAUGCUCGCCAGUUUAUGGCAUGGUGACUACUAACAAUGGCGUCUUUCCCCCCACCACAUGAAACCUCUCCCACUCCGCUAACUCGCGCGCACGCUCUUCAGCGACUGAUUGAAACUAGGGAGUCCACUCUGCCCCACCCUGUAUUUAGUUAUCAAUGAACGUUGGUUUAAACUACUUUUUAACCCAUUAAAAUUAAAUCAUCACUAUUUCACUAUUAGAUCACAAUAUGAAACUGACUAUUGAUAGAACUACACAUUCAAUCUUUAUGUCCAUUUAGAUCGAAUGAUUAUUAUAGUACCCAAAAGUCAAUUAAAUAUAGGAGUAUGUAUUUGGUUCUUGGUGUAGACCUACUAUUGAUGUAUGGAUACCCUUAGAUUUCUUGUUUAAGAAUUUACUUUUUAACACAUUAUAAGGCAUUUAUUUUUUUAGUUCUUGUGUAAUGGUUAUGUUUAACUACUUUUUGGAACACUUAACCAUCAUAAAAAUGUCACUAUUGAACUAUGUUACAAAACUUAAAUCCACUAUUUUACAAAAUAUUUCUGUAAUAUAACAUUUAACCUUCUCAGUCAUUCUAGAGACUUCUUUGGUUGAUUUGUUCCUCUGAUCCGUCCAUACCCUGUAUAUCGGGAUGUGCAGCUAGCAUCUCCCCCAAAAAGAUAGUGAUCAUUUCUUAGUCUUAUCAACAUCUAAAAUCAGGUACUGGUAAUGUUAGAUUGGCUCAACAUUUUAUACAAAAUAUGUUACGCACUAGGAUUGGAAUUUAUUUUGACAUAGUUCUUAGCAUUCAUGACAUGUAACCAAAAUAACAUAUUCAUGAACAAAAAUUGUAUUUGUAAUUUUCUUGUUAAGUUUUGGAUAAUGUUUUUGAAUUGUAUACAUUAUGUUUAAUUCUAAUAACUGACACCUUUUUGAUACCCAAUGAUGUUUUUUGGAAUUGUAAGAAACUUAAAUGUUUUGCUAAAUAUCUACAUGUAUUUAUAAAGACAAUCAAGAGCUUUAGAUAUAUGCUUUU